RNAcentral lists this transfer RNA (72 nucleotides) under Nanobdellota archaeon. RNAcentral's name for it is "tRNA-Met". It matches the Rfam family "tRNA". Rfam says of the family: Transfer RNA (tRNA) molecules are approximately 80 nucleotides in length. Their secondary structure includes four short double-helical elements and three loops (D, anti-codon, and T loops). Further hydrogen bonds mediate the characteristic L-shaped molecular structure. tRNAs have two regions of fundamental functional importance: the anti-codon, which is responsible for specific mRNA codon recognition, and the 3' end, to which the tRNAs corresponding amino acid is attached (by aminoacyl-tRNA synthetases). tRNAs cope with the degeneracy of the genetic code in two manners: having more than one tRNA (with a specific anti-codon) for a particular amino acid; and 'wobble' base-pairing, i.e. permitting non-standard base-pairing at the 3rd anti-codon position. Lineage: Archaea; Nanobdellati; Nanobdellota. The record is from RNAcentral.
GGCGCUGUAGCUUAGUGGAAAAGCGAUGCUCUCAUGAGGCAUAGACCGGGAGUUCAAUCCUCCCCAGCGCCA